Molecule: long non-coding RNA, 2123 nt
Organism: Columba livia (rock pigeon)
Lineage: Eukaryota; Metazoa; Chordata; Aves; Columbiformes; Columbidae
Exons: 2
Source: RefSeq, a predicted model, not a curated record
AUUUCAGAAACUAAUUGUCACAGAGCAACCCACAGGUCAAUUUUAGGGGCCACAAGGUCCAAAAACAACUUUUAUUAGACCAGCGAGGCACAGGGUUUUAGCACUCCAAAUGUGACUUAAAUACAGGUUCGGAUAUCAGUGGAGGAAAUUAUUGAGAGGGGCAGCCACUAAUACAACAGGAGGUCCACAGAGUGCAUGCACGUGGCUUCACCAAAACAAUGCCGGAGCCGUCCCCGAGUCCCGGAGGAGUACACACUUGCCUAAGCACGGUGUGGGAUUAUUUUAUAGAGAUACACGUACUCGCAGUGAGUACAGAAAGUGUGCACUCGCGAUUCCGCGAGAGUAAAUUUAUAAUACGCUCGCAGUCCUGCGAGAGUUAUUUCAUGCAGAGAAAAGUCCCAUCAGAGUUCCAGACCCGAGCGGACGGAGGAAGAAAUGCGGCCGACCCAAUAUGAGUGAUAAAGCAUACUUCAACUUUAUUGCCCGAGAUAGCGUGCAUUUAUACCAAAUACCAUAAUUAUGCAUACUUGUCUCUAUCUAAUAGGCUAAGCACAUUUACUUACUCCACCUACUUGGGUUUAGCUAGCUAUGCGCAUCCCACAUUCUUCUGACUCUUAUCUCUUCAAAAAUAUCCUAACCCUGCCUUAGUUAGUACUUUUCCGUUCCCCCCUUUCCCACGGCCUAAUAGACAAGCUAACUAAGGCCUACUUAUGUCAACUAAAAUGGGCUCUGCUCGUACAGUUGCUUGGUGGACUCAUGUCUGUGCUCCUUGAGCCAAUCCCCGACAUCUCCCCCCUUUUCUUUUUUUAAUGAGCAGAGCCUGCCCAAGUGUCUGCUCUAAAAUCUUCUUAAUACAUGAUAUAGCACAACUCAAGCAUAUUAAUGCAACUACUACUAUGAUUAAGAUAGCCAGAGCACUCUGCAAAAGCCAUUUUACCCAUCCUCCUAGUCCAAACCAGUUCAUGAGGCCGUCUAAGCCAAAGAGGCCCACAUCCUCUCUGAUCUUCUGUGAAUGGUCCGUAAGUUGUUUAAUCUCCUCGUGGAUGGAUCUCGACUUAUUCUGUAAAUCCAUAAAAGUGUUUUUCUCAUCUUGCUCUUUUGUGAUCUAUUAUCAUAGAUACAUUGGACGUUAAGAGAGUUAAUAGUCCCAAAAUACACAGUCCUCCAACAGCGUUAGAAGGAAUUCCUGGUCAGGCUCUAUCUUCACAGAUCAAGAAUACACCAUACAGGAGGUUUUAGGGUCGCUGUCAAUGAUAUCCCUUGCAUUCUUCUGUGAAGCAUUACACCGUCGAGUUUCAUUUCUGUAGUCACCAAGAGUAGCAUUAACAUUUUGUAUUUUGUCCAUUCAUGUUCUUGUAUACUGUUCUGACACUUUUCACAAACCGGCUGAAUACAAGCAUCCAUGGGCAUAGAUGCCAUCAAUUCCAGUUCCUGUGGUUCGAUGUCUGCUUCCAGGUGGCAAUUAAUCCAAAGUGCCGUGUUAGUAUUAUUACAGUUCGUUGCAAUGCCUCUGCAUCAACCACUAUUUGAAACAGUCGUGUGAUGCUGCUGUAGUCAUCAAGGAAGACACCAACCAAGCAUGUGUGGAACGUUUUUUCCAGAGACAUCGUAGUUAGGCAUAUAGAUGGUCAGUCAUGUUGGCUAAAGUAAUCCACAUGUUAGUCUUUGUCUGUGCAGGCAUCCAAAACACAGCAGCUGCAACAAUCAUUGUCAGGAAGAUAACACAGGUUUCACGUUUCGUGCUGGCAACCAUUGCAGCUCUUGAUCUGUAAAAACAUAAGCAUAACCUCUCCCCCAGGUUAUCAAUUGGUGUGGCCUUUUCCAUUGAACGUUAACUAGUGAUUUGACCAUAACUAAUGCAGGUUCUUUCUGAUUUAGCAUGGUUUUGGGUCAUAGUUACAAAGUGUUUCAUCACAGGGCAAAUUUAGGCUGUACCACUUAGAUACAAGUGAUUCAUCACAUACAAUCCUUUUGACAAUUCCCCUUUUUGUUUAAAAAACAAAACAAAACAAAACAAACAAAACAAAACAAAAACACAGUUCAGAAUCAGAUACGUGCGUUGGAUCUUGACUACGUACUCAAAAUCGCAAAUCAAAUUCAGAGGCUCCUUAAAUUUCGCAAAU